AGAAUGACGUGAACCUGGGAGGCAGAGCUUGCAGUGAGCCAAGAUUGCUCCACUGCACUCCAGCCUGGGUGACAGAG
Molecule: small nuclear RNA, 77 nt
Filed under: Homo sapiens (human)
Lineage: Eukaryota; Metazoa; Chordata; Mammalia; Primates; Hominidae
Description: partial ncRNA
Source: RNAcentral